GAUGAACGCUGGCGGUAUGCCUAACACAUGCAAGUCGUACGAGAGUUUUUAACUCUAGUGGCGGACGGGUGAGUAACACGUGAGAAUUUGCCUUUAGGAGGGGGAUAACAAUUGGAAACGAAUGCUAAUACCCCAUAUGCUUUUGAGUGAAACGGAUUUAUCCGCCUAGAGAGAAGCUCGCGGCUGAUUAGCUUGUUGGUAAGGUAAGAGCUUACCAAGGCGACGAUCAGUAUCUGGUUUGAGAGGACGAUCAGACACACUGGAACUGAGACACGGUCCAGACUCCUACGGGAGGCAGCAGUGGGGAAUUUUGGACAAUGGGGGGCAACCCUGAUCCAGCAAUGCCGCGUGAGUGAAGAAGGCCUCGGGUUGUAAAGCUCUUUGUCAGGGAAGAAACAGCAGCUCUAACACAGUCUGCGAAUGACGGUACCUGAAGAAUAAGCACCGGCUAACUACGUG
Molecule: ribosomal RNA, 459 nt
Filed under: uncultured bacterium
Lineage: Bacteria
Description: bacterial SSU rRNA
Rfam family: Bacterial small subunit ribosomal RNA
Source: RNAcentral